RNAcentral lists this Y RNA (96 nucleotides) under Prolemur simus (greater bamboo lemur). RNAcentral's name for it is "Y RNA (ENSPSMG00000018443.1)". It matches the Rfam family "Y RNA". From Rfam's summary of the family: Y RNAs are components of the Ro ribonucleoprotein particle (Ro RNP), in association with Ro60 and La proteins. The Y RNAs and Ro60 and La proteins are well conserved, but the function of the Ro RNP is not known. Lineage: Eukaryota; Metazoa; Chordata; Mammalia; Primates; Lemuridae. The record is from RNAcentral.
GGAUGGUCUGAUGGUAGUGGGUUAUCAGAACUUACUAACAUUAGUGUCACUAAUGUUGGUAUACAGCCUCCCACUGCUAAAUUUGACUGGCUUAAC